GGACGAUUAACUCAGUUUGGUUAGAGUGGCGGUCUCCAAAACCGUUGGCAUAGGUUCAAAUCCUAUAUCGUCUGCCA
RNAcentral lists this transfer RNA (77 nucleotides) under Terrisporobacter mayombei. RNAcentral describes it as "tRNA-Trp". It matches the Rfam family "tRNA". From Rfam's summary of the family: Transfer RNA (tRNA) molecules are approximately 80 nucleotides in length. Their secondary structure includes four short double-helical elements and three loops (D, anti-codon, and T loops). The record is from RNAcentral. Lineage: Bacteria; Bacillati; Bacillota; Clostridia; Peptostreptococcales; Peptostreptococcaceae.